Molecule: unclassified non-coding RNA, 375 nt
Filed under: uncultured Glomus
Lineage: Eukaryota; Fungi; Glomeromycota; Glomeromycetes; Glomerales; Glomeraceae
Description: SSU rRNA
Rfam family: Eukaryotic small subunit ribosomal RNA
Source: RNAcentral
CGCAGCCGCGGUAAUUCCAGCUCCAAUAGCGUAUAUUAAAGUUGUUGCAGUUAAAAGCUCGUAGUUGAAUUUCGGGAUCAAUUUAUUGGUCGUGCAAUAGUACGUACUGGUAUUAUUGGUUCCUACCUUCUGAUGAACCAUGAUGUCAUUAAUUUGGUGUUAUGGGGAAUCAGGACUGUUACUUUGAAAAAUUAGAGUGUUUAAAGCAGGCUCACGCUUGAAUACAUUAGCAUGGAAUAAUGAAAUAGGACGUUUGAUUCUAUUUUGUUGGUUUCUAGGAUCGACGUAAUGAUUAAUAGGGAUAGUUGGGGGGCAUUAGUAUUCAAUUGUCAGAGGUGGAAUUCUUGGAUUUAUUGAAGACUAACUACUGCGAAA